This 253-nucleotide ribosomal RNA is filed under the name uncultured bacterium. Its description in RNAcentral is "partial 16S ribosomal RNA". It matches the Rfam family "Bacterial small subunit ribosomal RNA", at positions 524 to 776 of the family's 1533-position model. The record is from RNAcentral.
GACGAAGGAUGCAAGCGUUAUCCGGAUUCAUUGGGUUUAAAGGGAGCGUAGGCGGUCCCAUAAGUCAGUGCUGAAAUAUCCCGGCUUAACCGGGAGGGUGGCAUUGAUACUGCAGGACUUGAGUAAAGUUGAGGUUGGCGGAAUUGACGGUGUAGCGGUGAAAUGCUUAGAUAUCGUCAAGAACACCGAUAGUGAAGACAGCUAACUAAGCUUUAACUGACGCUGAGGCACGAAAGUGUGGGGAUCAAACAGG